AGCUUUGUGCAGUGGCAGUAUUGUAGCCAAUGAGGUUUAUCCAAGGCGCAAUUAUUGCUAAUUGAAAGAAAAAUUGUCAUCUUGAAGCAUCAUCUUCUCUUAUUCUAUGCAACAACAACAAACCAUUUCUUGUGUGAUGAAAAGUGGAUUUUGUACAACAACCAGUGACAACCAGCUCAGUGGUU
RNAcentral lists this small nuclear RNA (185 nucleotides) under Cervus hanglu yarkandensis (Yarkand deer). RNAcentral describes it as "U4 spliceosomal RNA (ENSCHYG00000021850.1)". The stretch from base 1 to 75 matches the Rfam family "U4 spliceosomal RNA". The record is from RNAcentral. Lineage: Eukaryota; Metazoa; Chordata; Mammalia; Artiodactyla; Cervidae.